CAGUCGAGCGAGACCUUCGGGUCUAGCGGCGGACGGGUGAGUAACGCGUGGGAACGUGCCCUUUGCUACGGAAUAGUCCCGGGAAACUGGGUUUAAUACCGUAUGUGCCCUUCGGGGGAAAGAUUUAUCGGCAAAGGAUCGGCCCGCGUUGGAUUAGGUAGUUGGUGGGGUAAUGGCCUACCAAGCCGACGAUCCAUAGCUGGUUUGAGAGGAUGAUCAGCCACACUGGGACUGAGACACGGCCCAGACUCCUACGGGAGGCAGCAGUGGGGAAUCUUAGACAAUGGGGGCAACCCUGAUCUAGCCAUGCCGCGUGAGUGAUGAAGGCCUUAGGGUUGUAAAGCUCUUUCAGCUGGGAAGAUAAUGACGGUACCAGCAGAAGAAGCCCCGGCUAACUCCGUGCCAGCAGCCGCGGUAAUACGGAGGGGGCUAGCGUUGUUCGGAAUUACUGGGCGUAAAGCGCACGUAGGCGGACUGGAAAGUUGGGGGUGAAAUCCCGG
RNAcentral lists this ribosomal RNA (500 nucleotides) under uncultured bacterium. Its description in RNAcentral is "bacterial SSU rRNA". It matches the Rfam family "Bacterial small subunit ribosomal RNA", at positions 59 to 605 of the family's 1533-position model. The record is from RNAcentral.